GGGGACAUAGCUCAGUGGUAGAGUAUGCACCUAGCAUGUGCAAGGCCCUGGGUUCAAUUCCUCUAGCUUCA
This 71-nucleotide transfer RNA is filed under the name Marmota monax (woodchuck). It matches the Rfam family "tRNA". From Rfam's summary of the family: Transfer RNA (tRNA) molecules are approximately 80 nucleotides in length. Their secondary structure includes four short double-helical elements and three loops (D, anti-codon, and T loops). The record is from Rfam by way of RNAcentral. RNAcentral also lists the same sequence under 1 other name. Lineage: Eukaryota; Metazoa; Chordata; Mammalia; Rodentia; Sciuridae.